This 497-nucleotide ribosomal RNA is filed under the name uncultured bacterium. RNAcentral's name for it is "partial 16S ribosomal RNA". It matches the Rfam family "Bacterial small subunit ribosomal RNA", at positions 28 to 507 of the family's 1533-position model. The record is from RNAcentral.
GAUGAACGCUGGCGGCGUGCCUAAUACAUGCAAGUCGAGCGAACAGACGAGGAGCUUGCUCCUCUGACGUUAACGGCGGACGGGUGAGUAAAACGUGGAUAACCUACCUAUAAGACUGGGAUAACUUCGGGAAACCGGAGCUAAUACCGGAUAAUAUCUUGAACCGCAUGGUUCAAUAGUGAAAGACGGUUUUGCUGUCACUUCUAGAUGGAUCCGCGCCGCAUUAGCUAGUUGGUAAGGUAAUGGCUUACCAAGGCAACGAUGCGUAGCCGACCUGAGAGGGUGAUCGGCCACACUGGAACUGAGACACGGUCCAGACUCCUACGGGAGGCAGCAGUAGGGAAUCUUCCGCAAUGGGCGAAAGCCUGACGGAGCAACGCCGCGUGAGUGAUGAAGGUCUUCGGAUCGUAAAACUCUGUUAUUAGGGAAGAACAAAUGUGUAAGUAACUAUGCACGUCUUGACGGUACCUAAUCAGAAAGCCACGGCUAACUACGUG